Molecule: ribosomal RNA, 448 nt
Filed under: uncultured Pseudomonas sp.
Lineage: Bacteria; Pseudomonadati; Pseudomonadota; Gammaproteobacteria; Pseudomonadales; Pseudomonadaceae
Description: bacterial SSU rRNA
Rfam family: Bacterial small subunit ribosomal RNA
Source: RNAcentral
UGGAGCAUGUGGUUAAUUCGAAGCAACGCGAAGAACCUUACCAGGCCUUGACAUGCAGAGAACUUUCCAGAGAUGGAUGUGGCCUUCGGGAACUCUGACACAGGUGCUGCAUGGCUGUCGUCAGCUCGUGUCGUGAGAUGCUGGGUUAAGUCCCGUAACGAGCGCAACCCUUGUCCUUAGUUACCAGCACGUUAUGGUGGGCACUCUAAGGAGACUGCCGGUGACAAACCGGAGGAAGGUGGGGAUGACGUCAAGUCAUCAUGGCCCUUACGGCCUGGGCUACACACGUGCUACAAUGGUCGGUACAAAGGGUUGCCAAGCCGCGAGGUGGAGCUAAUCCCAUAAAACCGAUCGUAGUCCGGAUCGCAGUCUGCAACUCGACUGCGUGAAGUCGGAAUCGCUAGUAAUCGUGAAUCAGAAUGUCACGGUGAAUACGUUCCCGGGCCUU